Molecule: ribosomal RNA, 460 nt
Filed under: uncultured Methylomirabilota bacterium
Lineage: Bacteria; Methylomirabilota (SeqCode)
Description: bacterial SSU rRNA
Rfam family: Bacterial small subunit ribosomal RNA
Source: RNAcentral
GGGCUUGACAUCCCACGAACCUUGCCGAAAGGCAGGAGUGCCCGCAAGGGAGCGCGGAGACAGGUGGUGCAUGGCUGUCGUCAGCUCGUGUCGUGAGAUGUUGGGUUAAGUCCCGCAACGAGCGCAACCCUUACCCCUUGUUGCCAUCAGGUCAUGCUGGGCACUCUAGGGGAACUGCCCCGGUCAACGGGGAGGAAGGCGGGGAUGACGUCAAGUCAUCAUGCCCCUUACGCCCUGGGCUACACACGUGCUACAAUGGCCGGUACAAAGGGAUGCAAGACCGCGAGGUGGAGCUAAACCCAAAAAGCCGGUCUAAGUUCAGAUUGGAGUCUGCAACUCGACUCCAUGAAGGAGGAAUCGCUAGUAAUCGCGUAUCAGCACGACGCGGUGAAUACGUUCCCGGGCCUUGUACACACCGCCCGUCACACCACGAAAGUCAGUUGUACUCGAAGUCGCUGAG